UACAGAGGUCCCAAGCGUUGUUCGGAUUCACUGGGCGUAAAGGGUGCGUAGGCGGCGCGGUAAGUCGGGUGUGAAAUCUCGGAGCUUAACUCCGAAACUGCAUUCGAUACUGCCGUGCUUGAGGACUGGAGAGGAGACUGGAAUUUACGGUGUAGCGGUGAAAUGCGCAGAUAUCAGGAGGAACACCCGUAGCGAAGGCGGCACUCUGGGCCGAUACUGACGCUGAGGAGCGAAAGCGUGGGGAGCGAACAGG
RNAcentral lists this ribosomal RNA (253 nucleotides) under uncultured bacterium. RNAcentral's name for it is "partial 16S ribosomal RNA". It matches the Rfam family "Bacterial small subunit ribosomal RNA", at positions 524 to 776 of the family's 1533-position model. The record is from RNAcentral.